CAAUGGCAGGUACAGCGGGAAGCCACCUGGCGACAGGGAGCGGAACCGAAAGCCUGUCUCAGUUCGGAUUGGAGUCUGCAACCCGACUCCAUGAAGCUGGAUUCGCUAGUAAUCGCGCAUCAGCCACGGCGCGGUGAAUACGUUCCCGGGCCUUGUACACACCGCCCGUCAAGCCAUGGAAGCCGGGGGUGCCUGAAGUGCGCUGCCGCAAGGAGCGCCCUAGGGUAAAACCGGUGACUGGGGCUAAGUCGUAACAAGGUAGC
Molecule: ribosomal RNA, 263 nt
Filed under: uncultured bacterium
Lineage: Bacteria
Description: partial 16S ribosomal RNA
Rfam family: Bacterial small subunit ribosomal RNA
Source: RNAcentral